RNAcentral lists this ribosomal RNA (402 nucleotides) under uncultured bacterium. RNAcentral describes it as "bacterial SSU rRNA". It matches the Rfam family "Bacterial small subunit ribosomal RNA", at positions 355 to 773 of the family's 1533-position model. The record is from RNAcentral.
UAGGGAAUAUUGCACAAUGGGCGAAAGCCUGAUGCAGCAACGCCGCGUGCGCGAUGAAGGCCUUCGGGUUGUAAAGCGCUUUUCGGGGAGACGAGGAAGGACGGUAUCCCCGGAAUAAGGAUCGGCUAACUACGUGCCAGCAGCCGCGGUAAAACGUAGGAUCCGAGCGUUAUCCGAAUUCACUGGGCGUAAAGCGCGAGCAGGCGGUACGAUAAGUUGGGUGUAAAAUCUCCUGGCUCAACUGGGAGAGGACGUUCAAUACUGUCGAACUAGAGGGCGGUAGAGGGAGGUGGAAUUCCCGGUGUAGUGGUGAAAUGCGUAGAUAUCGGGAGGAACACCAGUGGCGAAAGCGGCCUCCUGGACCGUGCCUGACGCUGAGAUGCGAAAGCUAGGGGAGCGAAC